This 60-nucleotide transfer RNA is filed under the name Hiatula diphos (diphos sanguin). RNAcentral's name for it is "Soletellina diphos (diphos sanguin) tRNA-Tyr". The record is from RNAcentral. Lineage: Eukaryota; Metazoa; Mollusca; Bivalvia; Cardiida; Psammobiidae. RNAcentral also lists the same sequence under 1 other name.
AGGAGACGGCUGUUGAAGUGGUAAGUUGUAGCCUUAUUUAUGGGAUUAUUUCUCUCUCCU